GGUGUUGUGGCUCAGUGGUAGAGCACUUGCCUAACAUGAGGCACUGAGCUCGAUCCUCAGCACCACAU
This 68-nucleotide transfer RNA is filed under the name Marmota marmota marmota (Alpine marmot). It matches the Rfam family "tRNA". Rfam says of the family: Transfer RNA (tRNA) molecules are approximately 80 nucleotides in length. Lineage: Eukaryota; Metazoa; Chordata; Mammalia; Rodentia; Sciuridae. RNAcentral also lists the same sequence under 2 other names. The record is from Rfam by way of RNAcentral.